CAGCCGCCGCGGUAAUACGAAGGGGGCUAGCGUUGUUCGGAAUUACUGGGCGUAAAGCGCACGUAGGCGGAUAUUUAAGUCAGGGGUGAAAUCCCGCAGCUCAACUGCGGAACUGCCUUUGAUACUGGGUAUCUUGAGUAUGGAAGAGGUAAGUGGAAUUGCGAGUGUAGAGGUGAAAUUCGUAGAUAUUCGCAGGAACACCAGUGGCGAAGGCGGCUUACUGGUCCAUUACUGACGCUGAGGUGCGAAAGCGUGGGGAGCAAACAGGAUUAGAUACCCCCGUAGUCCCUGUCUCUUAUAC
Molecule: ribosomal RNA, 301 nt
Filed under: uncultured bacterium
Lineage: Bacteria
Description: partial 16S ribosomal RNA
Rfam family: Bacterial small subunit ribosomal RNA
Source: RNAcentral